Molecule: ribosomal RNA, 429 nt
Filed under: Bacteroidota bacterium
Lineage: Bacteria; Pseudomonadati; Bacteroidota
Description: Bacteroidetes bacterium partial 16S ribosomal RNA
Rfam family: Bacterial small subunit ribosomal RNA
Source: RNAcentral
UAGGGAAUCUUCCGCAAUGGGCGAAAGCCUGACGGAGCAACGCCGCGUGAGUGAUGAAGGUCUUCGGAUCGUAAAACUCUGUUAUUAGGGAAGAAUAAAUGUGUAAGUAACUAUGCACGUCUUGACGGUACCUAAUCAGAAAGCCACGGCUAACUACGUGCCAGCAGCCGCGGUAAUACGUAGGUGGCAAGCGUUAUCCGGAAUUAUUGGGCGUAAAGCGCGCGUAGGCGGUUUUUUAAGUCUGAUGUGAAAGCCCACGGCUCAACCGUGGAGGGUCAUUGGAAACUGGAAAACUUGAGUGCAGAAGAGGAAAGUGGAAUUCCAUGUGUAGCAGUGAAAUGCGCAGAGAUAUGGAGGAACACCGGUGGCGAAAGCGGCUCUCUGGUCUGUAACUGACGCUGAGGCUCGAAAGCGUGGGGAGCGAACAGG